This 424-nucleotide ribosomal RNA is filed under the name uncultured bacterium. RNAcentral describes it as "bacterial SSU rRNA". It matches the Rfam family "Bacterial small subunit ribosomal RNA", at positions 28 to 456 of the family's 1533-position model. The record is from RNAcentral.
GACGAACGCUGGCGGCGUGGAUUAGGCAUGCAAGUCGAGCGACGGCCCUUCGGGGUACGGAGCGGCGAACGGGUGAGUAACACGUGAACAACCUGUCCCUACAUUCCGGAUAAUUGGCCGAAAGGCCUUGUAAUACGGGCGAGGAUCUCUGGAAGGCAUCUUCUGGAGAGGGAACACGCAAGUGGUGCGGGGAGGGGUUCGCGUCCUAUCAGGUAGUUGGCGGGGUAACGGCCCACCAAGCCUACGACGGGUAGCUGGUCUGAGAGGAUGGUCAGCCACAUUGGAACUGAGACACUGUCCAGACUCCUACGGGAGGCUGCAGUCGAGAAUCUUGCACAAUGCACGAAAGUGUGAUGCGGCGACGCCGCGUGAAGGAUGAAGGCCCUUGGGUCGUAAACUUCUUUUAGAGGGGAAGAAACCCGAG